RNAcentral lists this ribosomal RNA (427 nucleotides) under uncultured bacterium. RNAcentral's name for it is "bacterial SSU rRNA". It matches the Rfam family "Bacterial small subunit ribosomal RNA", at positions 355 to 774 of the family's 1533-position model. The record is from RNAcentral.
UGGGGAAUUUUGGACAGUGGGCGCAAGCCUGAUCCAGCAAUGCCGCGUGCAGGAUGAAGGCCUUCGGGUUGUAAACUGCUUUUGUACGGAGCGAAAAGGUCUGCCCUAAUACGGUGGGCUCAUGACGGUACCGUAAGAAUAAGCACCGGCUAACUACGUGCCAGCAGCCGCGGUAAUACGUAGGGUGCGAGCGUUACUCGGAAUUACUGGGCGUAAAGCGUGCGUAGGUGGUGGUUUAAGUCUGCUGUGAAAGCCCUGGGCUCAACCUGGGAAUUGCAUUUGUGACUGUAUAGCUAGAGUACGGUAGAGGGGGAUGGAAUUCAGCGUGUAGCAGUGAAAUGCGUAGAUAUGCGGAGGAACACCGAUGGCGAAGGCAAUCCCCUGGACCUGUACUGACGCUCAUGCACGAAAGCGUGGGGAGCAAACA